AGUUUGAACCCCCGAAACUAGAUGAGCUACUUCGGAAUAAUUCUAGGAACUAACCCGUCUCUGUCGCAAAAGAGUGGGACAAUUCCCAAGUAGAGGCGACAAACCUACCGCACCUAGAGAUAGCUGGUUAUUCAAGAAAAGAAUUUAAGUUCAACCUUAAGUUUUUAUAUUAAAUAAAAAACAAAACUUUAGAGUUACUCAAAUAAGGCACAGCUUAUUUGAAAUAGAACACAACCUACAAUAUAGGGUAAUACAUAAUAAUUGUAUAACAAGUGGGCCUAAAAGCAGCCACCUUCAAAAAAGCGUUAAAGCUUACUACCUACUUUAUUUUAAUACCUCUUCCUUUCACUAACCCUUCACCUGUAUUGAAUGACUCCAUAAACCUAUGGAAAAUUUUAUGCUAGAACUAGUAACAAGAAAUAGAUUUUCUCCUAAAUGUAAACUUAAGCCACAAUAGACAAACUACCGGCAAUUAACAUAAAUGAACAUAAUACAGCAACCCCAACAAGAAAACCCUGUUUAUACAUAACGUUAUCCUUACACCAGAACAUUUAAGGAAAGAUUAAAAGA
RNAcentral lists this ribosomal RNA (570 nucleotides) under Mantidactylus danieli. Its description in RNAcentral is "partial 16S ribosomal RNA". The stretch from base 11 to 127 matches the Rfam family "Bacterial large subunit ribosomal RNA", at positions 714 to 852 of the family's 2925-position model. Lineage: Eukaryota; Metazoa; Chordata; Amphibia; Anura; Mantellidae. The record is from RNAcentral.